RNAcentral lists this unclassified non-coding RNA (335 nucleotides) under soil metagenome. RNAcentral describes it as "partial contains 5.8S ribosomal RNA, internal transcribed spacer 2, and large subunit ribosomal RNA". The stretch from base 1 to 120 matches the Rfam family "5.8S ribosomal RNA", at positions 35 to 154 of the family's 154-position model. The record is from RNAcentral.
GAUGAAGAACGUAGCGAAAUGCGAUAAGUAAUGUGAAUUGCAGAAUUCAGUGAAUCAUCGAAUCUUUGAACGCACAUUGCGCCCGCCAGUAUUCUGGCGGGCAUGCCUGUUCGAGCGUCAUUUCAACCAUCAAGCCCCCGGCUUGUGUUGGGGACCUGCGGCUGCCGCAGGCCCUGAAAACCAGUGGCGGGCUCGCUAGUCACUCCGAGCGUAGUAAUACAUCUCGCUCAGGGCGUGCUGCGGGUUCCGGCCGUUAAAAGCCUUAUUUUACCCAAGGUUGACCUCGGAUCAGGUAGGAAUACCCGCUGAACUUAAGCAUAUCAAUAAGCGGAGGA